This 279-nucleotide ribosomal RNA is filed under the name Chlorellaceae sp. Its description in RNAcentral is "partial small subunit ribosomal RNA". It matches the Rfam family "Eukaryotic small subunit ribosomal RNA", at positions 627 to 911 of the family's 1831-position model. The record is from RNAcentral. Lineage: Eukaryota; Viridiplantae; Chlorophyta; Trebouxiophyceae; Chlorellales; Chlorellaceae.
CUCGUAGUUGGAUUUCGGGCGGGGCCUGCCGGUCCGCCGUUUCGGUGUGCACUGGCAGGGCCCGCCUUGUUGCCGGGGACGGGCUCCUGGGCUUCACUGUCCGGGACUCGGAGUCGGCGCUGUUACUUUGAGUAAAUUAGAGUGUUCAAAGCAGGCCUACGCUCUGAAUACAUUAGCAUGGAAUAACAUGAUAGGACUCUGGCCUAUCCUGUUGGUCUGUAGGACCGGAGUAAUGAUUAAGAGGGACAGUCGGGGGCAUUCGUAUUCCAUUGUCAGAGA